UACGAAGGGGGCUAGCGUUGCUCGGAAUGACUGGGCGUAAAGGGCGCGUAGGCGGCUUGGCAAGUCAGGCGUGAAAUUCCUGGGCUCAACCUGGGGGCUGCGCUUGAGACUGCUGGGCUUGAGGAUGGAAGAGGCUCGUGGAAUUCCCAGUGUAGAGGUGAAAUUCGUAGAUAUUGGGAAGAACACCGGUGGCGAAGGCGGCGAGCUGGUCCAUUACUGACGCUGAGGCGCGACAGCGUGGGGAGCAAACAGG
RNAcentral lists this ribosomal RNA (253 nucleotides) under uncultured bacterium. Its description in RNAcentral is "partial 16S ribosomal RNA". It matches the Rfam family "Bacterial small subunit ribosomal RNA", at positions 524 to 776 of the family's 1533-position model. The record is from RNAcentral.